UUCCUCACGAAUUCUUUCUCUGUCGUUUUCAGGUGAUGCCCUUUGGUCCGGAAGAGAUGCCUGUCUUUCUGUAUUAAUGAAACAUGGCGGGGGUGGAGGCGGUGGAAUGCUAGGACCUGAAUGGGAAGCGUGAAGAAAGUAUGACUGGGAGCCACUGACAUCAUUGUAGUCUUUACGCUUCACUAAUCCUGGAAUAGUCAAAGCUUCGACUAGGUAAGAGCCUGCUCAGCGAGUCUAGUCCAACAAUUAUUCGUAAGUCUUGAAUUGAAACAUAUAUAACAAAGUUCUCUUCGAACGCGAAAUUCGAAUUUCCAUUACUCAAUGGCCAGUUGAGCUAUGCCUACUAUAUUGCGGCGAUAGAUAUUUCGAAUUUCAUAACGUUCAUUAUUAAAAAUAAUGAAUCAUAAGAGUGUGUGUUGAAUAGUGUAAUCUGUAAUUAUUUUUGUCGUGCAACCACUACUAAAAGGAACUUAAUAUGCGAUACAUCUGGCUCUUAGUCGAAUUCCAUCAUCUUUAGCAUUGUAUAAGGACAACUUAUACAAUGCCUCUAGCAUUUCCCUGCAAAAUUUUCGGAGGACAAAUAAGACACUUGACACUUCAAUCUUACAACACAAAAGCCCCAAAGACGUACACAACAUAAAUGAAACACACAAUUAAAACAACAGUUUUAUAUUCGAUACAGAAUCUUGAAAAUAGGACAUAUUUUCGCGAUGUAAAUAUGAAUUAGCGAUUAUGCUCUUUUGAAAACUUCACUUUAGGUAAGACUUAUCAAUCAUGGAAUCAAUAUACAGCACCUAACAUUUCUAAAUUACAUACAUUGUAUAAAUAUACUCUCUUUAAUUCAUUACCGAAGUCACAUGUCCAUUCUUCAUAUUUAAUAAAUUUAGUAUAUAUGAUCAUAUAGUUUUAAGACUAACUUUUGUGUCCUUAAAUUAUUCCCACAUAUAUUAGGGAGAAAAUUAACUGAUAAAAACAAAACAAAAUAGUCAACAACAGGAAGCAAUUGCAAA
Molecule: long non-coding RNA, 1010 nt
Organism: Coccinella septempunctata (seven-spotted ladybird)
Lineage: Eukaryota; Metazoa; Arthropoda; Insecta; Coleoptera; Coccinellidae
Exons: 2
Source: RefSeq, a predicted model, not a curated record